This 1215-nucleotide long non-coding RNA is filed under the name Equus caballus (horse). RNAcentral describes it as "lncRNA (ENSECAG00000042594.2)". The record is from RNAcentral. Lineage: Eukaryota; Metazoa; Chordata; Mammalia; Perissodactyla; Equidae.
CUUAGAUCAGAAGAACAAUGACCACUAAGGUCUAAUGACCGUAGACCAUAAUGAUAACGACCCCCAUGAGUACUCCACAAUGGCUCAGUGGGCAGAGGUUGGGACAUUCGAAGUCUCUGUAAUUUUUAUAAUGAUGUUCCGUCCCUCUUGCACCUCACAUUUCUAGAUGAAAGCUCUAAGAGUAAGUGAGGGAUGACUGGAAAAACGUAAAGAUACUUGAAGAAGACAUAACAAUUUUGUGACCAUGGAGGGAAAGCAACAACUUAGACAUCUGGAAAGGGAGCAUCUUAAACCCUGGAAGGUUCAGAGAAAGAAGGAGCUUCACACUAGAACCUUCCUCAUGAAGGAAACACUACAGUGUAGAUCUCCCAAGAACCUUAAAUUUAGCUGACCAGUGAGGUCUUCCAUCCCCUGUUGGUUGUCUCUGACUAGAAUUUGCUCACAAUUCUCCUCACGGAGAAGUCCAUCAGAAACAGCAUGCAAAACCUCCUGAACCUCCCAUGCAAAAUACCUAUUAAUAUCUCCUGGUGUCUUCCCUUCCCUCUCCCCUAGUCUAAAUCAUUCCAUGGGGCAGAAAAAUGCCACCUGGCUACCAGUGUAGACAAACAGGAAAGAUCAAACUGACUGUCCUCAGUCAUUCUUUCUGAAAUCAAGGACUAUGCUCACUAUGAAAACUGAAUGGGAACCAUAAGGCUUAGCAGCCAGCCAGAAGACCACAUUGGAGGGACUGUCAACCUCUUCUCUGUGACCAAUACCUAGAUAAAAGUUCAGUGAAGUGGUUAAUUGUCCAUCCAAAGUAAACAAUGAAAGAUGAUAGCUGUAUAAAAUAAUAGAAGCCUGAAGAGUCUCAGACACUGUAUAGCACUGGCAAAGUACAUAUUUUGGAUACUGGCUGUGCGUCUAAAUAAGAUGUGAGGUCUGAAUGGGAUAAAUUUUCUGAACCAGUCCUGAGGAAUAUCUACCAGUGUUUCAUCUUCCUGGGCUUUGGGUUUUUCUGUCAACCAACACAAAUGAAGAUAAGCCAGUCCUCCUCUAGAAUAUAUUGCUCGAGCCUGUGUUCCUGCCCCGGGAAAGAGAGAUGACCCUCCUCCUAGUGCUUUACGUUUUCAUUUCAUCUUCAAUAAUGCAAGAAUAAAUGCAUAAAAUGGAAAUGGACUUGAGUAUGUUAUGUUACCUGAUUGAAAAGAAAGAUUUGGAACUGCAUGGCAGAAGAGC